CUCAUUACGUUCAAAUUAUGCAAGGUAUUAUCGAUUUAUUAAUACAACGAGGCACGUUUAACAAUGCCUUUUAUAGGUUAUUUUAUUGUUUAAUAAUUUAAAACUUGGCAUACAUUAUUAAUACGUUGCAUUAUGCCAUUAUUAGGCACUUAUUUAUAUGGAAAUGGGCCAAUGGCGCAUAUUGUAGUUCAAUUAUUUUGCGUUUAUGGUAAUUCAUGAUGGUAAAUAGUUUCUAUUUAUCAAUAAUUAAUGUAUAAAAAAAAAAAAAAUGCAAUGAUGUACAAAUUUAAAUAUCAACGAACGGCUGCGGAGUAGGUCAGGUUAUAGGUACAUGCUUGUGUUUUAUUAUCU
Cinara cedri is the source of this 351-nucleotide non-coding RNA. The record is from the annotation of a GenBank genome assembly. Lineage: Eukaryota; Metazoa; Arthropoda; Insecta; Hemiptera; Aphididae.